GAUGAACGCUGGCGGCGUGCCUAAUACAUGCAAGUCGAGCGAACGGACGAGAAGCUUGCUUCUCUGAUGUUAGCGGCGGACGGGUGAGUAACACGUGGAUAACCUACCUAUAAGACUGGGAUAACUUCGGGAAACCGGAGCUAAUACCGGAUAAUAUUUUGAACCGCAUGGUUCAAAAGUGAAAGACGGUCUUGCUGUCACUUAUAGAUGGAUCCGCGCUGCAUUAGCUAGUUGGUAAGGUAACGGCUUACCAAGGCAACGAUGCAUAGCCGACCUGAGAGGUGAUCCGCCCCCCCUGAACCGAGGCCCCGUCCCAGCUCCCAACGGAGGCCGGCGGAGGGAAUCCUUCCGCAUGGGGCGAAGGCCGACCGAGCCAACGCGGCGUAGGGAAUAAGGGUCUUCGAUUCGUAAACCUCUGUAAUAGGGAAAAAACAUAUGUGAAGUAACCUGGGCACAUCUGAACGGUACCAAACAGAAAGGCCCCGCCUACCUCGGU
RNAcentral lists this ribosomal RNA (496 nucleotides) under uncultured bacterium. RNAcentral's name for it is "partial 16S ribosomal RNA". It matches the Rfam family "Bacterial small subunit ribosomal RNA", at positions 28 to 506 of the family's 1533-position model. The record is from RNAcentral.